GCCUGGGUGGGUGGAGCCGAGGGAGGCAGGGCCAGGUGCGCCUGUGGGGCCCAGUAAGGAGUUUCAGCCGCCUCUGAGGCUGGGCUUCCCUGUAAUUACCAUUUGCAGGUGGUUGGGUGCCAGGGGUAAGGCUUUCAUUUGACAGGUGAGGCUUACCUCCUGGAGCUGGAGAAUUGACUCUGUAAUUGACCGGGGUGUUUUACCUUUGAUGGGUCCCCUGGCAGUCUGAGUCCCAGCUCACGGGGCAGGUGUGGCACUGUCCGUCUCGGCCGAGCCUCUCGUCCUUUCAGUCACGGACUCACACGGACCUCAGACCCAAACCGCAAGGGGGACACUGCGCAGUGGAGGUGGAUGUGAAUGCCCAGGGUGGGCGGGUGACUCCAACGGUAGACCUGAGUUGAGUAUCAGCUCUGCCACUGAGCUGUCUCACCUCGGUCAGCUUAAUUAACCUCUCUGGUCUUCCGUUUCCCCAUCUGAAAAUGGGCCUAAUGGUAUCCAUGUGACUUAGUUAUUUUGACGAGUAAAUAGGAUAAUGGGUGUGAAGUGCUUAGUGAAGCGCCCAGCGCCCUUGUAAGUGCCCAGUUAAAUGCUGUCCUUUCUCGCCGUCUAUGAGUGUGGUGCUGGGUGCCCACGCAGUGCCUGGCUCUGGGUGGGGUCUGCCUUUGUCCCUGUAGCAGUGGUGGAUCUAAAAGGCUUGAGGACCACCCCUCCUGAGGGCUCCCACCCCAGGGAAAGGGAGAACUGACCCGAGUGCCUACUGUGUGCUGGCCCCGUGUGUGCCAGCAAGACCCUGCCCUGCUGUCAAGGAGCUUGGGUCCCUGAUGGGGAUGGCAAAAGGAGGCGCAUUGUGGAGGACACUGAGGCAGGUUAAAAUGAACCUCGGGUCAUUGUGGACGGCUGCACAGACGGGUGAAGGUGAGGAAUGAAAGCGUUAGCCGCUCAGAUAUUUCCGACUCUUUGAGGCCCCGAGGACUGUAGCCCUCCAGGCUCCUCUGUCCAGGGAAUUCUCCAGGCGAAAAUACUGGAGUGGGUGGCCAUUUCCUCCUCCAGGGGAUCUUCCUGACCCAGGGAUCAAACCGGGCUCUUCUGCAUUGCAGGUGGAUUCUUUACUGCCUGAGCCA
Molecule: long non-coding RNA, 1121 nt
Filed under: Bos grunniens (domestic yak)
Lineage: Eukaryota; Metazoa; Chordata; Mammalia; Artiodactyla; Bovidae
Description: lncRNA (ENSBGRG00000020654.1)
Source: RNAcentral